This 436-nucleotide ribosomal RNA is filed under the name uncultured bacterium. Its description in RNAcentral is "bacterial SSU rRNA". It matches the Rfam family "Bacterial small subunit ribosomal RNA", at positions 958 to 1398 of the family's 1533-position model. The record is from RNAcentral.
AACGCGAAGAACCUUACCGGGGCUUGACAUCCUGCGACAUCCUACGAAAGUAGGCUUCCGAGCAAUCGGACGCAGAGACAGGUGCUGCAUGGCUGUCGUCAGCUCGUGCCGUGAGGUGUUGGGUUAAGUCCCGCAACGAGCGCAACCCUUGUCGUGUGUUGGUCCACAAGAUCUCUCACGCGAGACCGCCGGUGAUAAGCCGGAGGAAGGUGGGGAUGACGUCAAGUCAGCAUGGCCCUUACGUCCCGGGCUACACACGUGCUACAAUGGGUCGGACAACGAGCUGCGAACUCGCAAGAGUAAGCUAAUCUCUUAAAUCGACCCUCAGUUCGGAUUGAAGGCUGCAACUCGCCUUCAUGAAGUCGGAAUCGCUAGUAAACGCAGAUCAGCUACGCUGCGUUGAAUACGUUCCCGGGCCUUGUACACACCGAGUAUA